Molecule: ribosomal RNA, 424 nt
Filed under: uncultured bacterium
Lineage: Bacteria
Description: partial 16S ribosomal RNA
Rfam family: Bacterial small subunit ribosomal RNA
Source: RNAcentral
AUCAUUGGACAAUGUGCGAAAUCCUGAUCCAGCCAGGCCGCGAGUGUGAAGAAGGUCUUCGGUUUAUAAAGCAUUUUAUGUUGGAACGAAUGGACGUAAGUUAAUACCUAGCUGUUCUUACGUUAACGACUUAAUAAGCACCCGAUAACUUAGUGUCAGAAGCCGCGGUAAUACGACGUGUGCAAGCGUUCAUCGGAAUUACUGGGCGUAAAGCGCGCGUAGGUGGUUUGUAAAGUUGGAAGUGAAAGCCCCGGGCUCAACCUGGGAACUGCUUUCAAAACUGGCAAGCUAGAGUAUGGCAGAGGGUGGUGGAAUUUCCUGUGUAGCGGUGAAAUGCGUAGAUAUAGGAAGGAACACCAGUGGCGAAGGCGACCACCUGGGCUAAUACUGACACUGAGGUGCGAAAGCGUGGGGAGCAAACAGG